AUGAGAAUAACAGAGUGAACCAUUCAUUACAUUAUCUGCCAAGUAUUUAUUAAACUGUAUCGUCUGUGAAAUUCCCUCCGUGCUCCUUUCUAUUUGAUCUUUUUAUUUCGCUUUGCUUCCAAUUAGAAGGCUGCAAAUAGACCGUCAAACUAACGAGAAAAACUUUAAGAAAACCGAAAGUCAAGAGGUAUACGAGGGAAUCAACACCGAGGCUUGACACAGAUCAUUUUGACAGUGGUGAACAAUAUCCAUCCCGACUUUGAAUACGCGUGUUUUACGUUCAUAGUUAAUCGACGAUCAUGCGGGAUACGAUUGCAGAGACGUUGAUUCAAUUAUCGACAAACCGACGCGCGGAAUCUGCAGAUUUACGUCGUAAUGGUGUAAUUCACCAUUGUAGAAAUUGCAAUUCUGAUUGUUAUCGAUCGAUAUUCAAAUCAUCCCAUUUCGAACAGCAUCCGAUAAAUAAUUUAAGAGUUAUCGCUGAUCAAGCAUUUCCAUAUUACAAUCUAUAAAAAGUAAUCUUCAACAAUCACCUGUAAGUAUAGACAGAUGCCGUCUCGUUAAUUUUCUUUAUCUCUUCAGCCGUUUCCUUGUUUCCGUUUUCAUUUAAAUCCCAACAAACAACUUUUGCUCCUAAAGUUGCAUAUUGCAGAGCUAAUUCUCUGCCAAUGCCAUGUCCUGCUCCAGUUAUCUGUAAGCAGAUUUACUUGAUAAGAAAGAAUAUUCGUCAUAGAGCCAACAAUUUUUUUACCACAGUAUUACGUAAAGCGAUGAUUAUGUGAUUACUGGUUUUACAUUUUGGGUUAAUCAUAGACUGUCUUCAAUUAAUAUUU
RNAcentral lists this unclassified non-coding RNA (833 nucleotides) under Athalia rosae (coleseed sawfly). Its description in RNAcentral is "misc RNA ENSAEAG00005000849.1". The record is from RNAcentral. Lineage: Eukaryota; Metazoa; Arthropoda; Insecta; Hymenoptera; Athaliidae.